Long non-coding RNA from Anoplopoma fimbria (sablefish), 535 nucleotides. RefSeq lists it as uncharacterized. NCBI's taxonomy places the organism in Eukaryota, Metazoa, Chordata, Actinopteri, Perciformes, Anoplopomatidae. The transcript has 3 exons. The record is from RefSeq and is a predicted model, not a curated record.
CAUGUUUGAGCAGAACGCCUCUUACCUCUUAAGUUUUUUUUUUUCAAACCCUUAAAAACUAAUGUUUUUCUGGCUUUUAAUAUGAGCCAAUCCUAUCUUUCCCAUUAAAGGUUUUUAAUAUCUUAUCCACAUUGUGUAUGUUGUUUUAAGGGGCAACAGAAGGAAAAGCGUUCUCUACGUGAUGGGUUCUCGGGACUCUGAGAGUCUGAUCUUCCCUCUCUCUGGUCCUGGAGAUGGUCCAGUGAUGAAGGACACCGACCAGCCAACGUUGAGACCUGUGUUUGAACCUCACCUGAGGUGAGGACAGCCUGGAGAUUUGGCAUAAAGAAGAACACAAAGCUUCAGGGAGGAGAGUGAAUACUAGCUGGAAGUGACAGGAAGCGAAAGCUGCAAGUUAAAGAGUGAAGAUGAAGACGCUUUGAAUUGAUGACAGAAUUAAAAAGCUGUAGAAAACAUCUGGAGAAGACAAAAUUAUGAACUGAUUUUUGUGAUCGGCAUUAAAAAAAGUCAUAACUUUUAUAUGCUGAGUACAUUA